This 47-nucleotide ribosomal RNA is filed under the name Ajania potaninii. RNAcentral's name for it is "partial 28S ribosomal RNA". Lineage: Eukaryota; Viridiplantae; Streptophyta; Magnoliopsida; Asterales; Asteraceae. The record is from RNAcentral.
CGACCCCAGGUCAGGCGGGACUACCCGCUGAGUUUAAGCAUAUCAAA